ACACUUAAACCGCCAGGGAACUACGAGCUUUAGCUUAAAACCCAAAGGACUUGACGGUGUCCCACCCAACUAGAGGAGCCUGUCCUAUAAUCGAUAAUCCACGUUUUACCUAACCCUUUUUUGCUUUAUCAGCCUGUACACCUCCGUCGUAAGCCUACCAUAUGAAUGAAAAAUAGUAGACUCAAGGAUUUUUUAUCACAAUGACAGGUCAAGGUGCAGCUUACAAAAUGGUAGAGAUGAGCUACAAUUUCUAAAUUAGAACAAACGAAAUACUGCAUGAAACACAGUCAUGAAGGUGGAUUUAGCAGUAAGUGCGGAAUAGAGAGCCCCACUUAAAUCGGCCCUGGGACG
RNAcentral lists this ribosomal RNA (351 nucleotides) under Chirixalus doriae (Doria's Asian treefrog). RNAcentral's name for it is "Chiromantis doriae (Doria's Asian treefrog) partial 12S ribosomal RNA". It matches the Rfam family "Bacterial small subunit ribosomal RNA", at positions 855 to 1381 of the family's 1533-position model. Lineage: Eukaryota; Metazoa; Chordata; Amphibia; Anura; Rhacophoridae. The record is from RNAcentral.